GACGAACGCUGGCGGCGUGCUUAACACAUGCAAGUCGAACGGAAAGGCCCUGCUUUUGUGGGGUGCUCGAGUGGCGAACGGGUGAGUAACACGUGAGUAACCUGCCCUUGACUUUGGGAUAACUUCAGGAAACUGGGGCUAAUACCGGAUAGGAGCUCCUGCUGCAUGGUGGGGGUUGGAAAGUUUCGGCGGUUGGGGAUGGACUCGCGGCUUAUCAGCUUGUUGGUGGGGUAGUGGCUUACCAAGGCUUUGACGGGUAGCCGGCCUGAGAGGGUGACCGGCCACAUUGGGACUGAGAUACGGCCCAGACUCCUACGGGAGGCAGCAGAGGGGAAUAUUGCACAAUGGGCGGAAGCCUGAUGCAGCAACGCCGCGUGCGGGAUGACGGCCUUCGGGUUGUAAACCGCUUCCGCCUGUGACGAAGCGUGAGUGACGGUAAUGGGUAAAGAAGCACCGGCUAACUACGUGCCAGCAGCCGCGGUGAUACGUAGGGUGCGAGCGUUGUCCGGAUUUAUUGGGCGUAAAGGGCUCGUAGGUGGUUGAUCGCGUCGGAAGUGUAAUCUUGGGGCUUAACCCUGAGCGUGCUUUCGAUACGGGUUGACUUGAGGAAGGUAGGGGAGAAUGGAAUUCCUGGUGGAGCGGUGGAAUGCGCAGAUAUCAGGAGGAACACCAGUGGCGAAGGCGGUUCUCUGGGCCUUUCCUGACGCUGAGGAGCGAAAGCGUGGGGAGCGAACAGGCUUAGAUACCCUGGUAGUCCACGCUGUAAACGGUGGGUACUAGGUGUGGGGUCCAUUCCACGGGUUCCGUGCCGUAGCUAACGCUUUAAGUACCCCGCCUGGGGAGUACGGCCGCAAGGCUAAAACUCAAAGGAAUUGACGGGGCCCCGCACAAGCGGCGGAGCAUGCGGAUUAAUUCGAUGCAACGCGUAGAACCUUACCUGGGUUUGACAUGGAUCGGGAGUGCUCAGAGAUGGGUGUGCCUCUUUUGGGGUCGGUUCACAGGUGGUGCAUGCCUGUCGUCAGCUCGUGUCGUGAGAUGUUGGGUUAAGUCCCGCAACGAGCGCAACCCUUGUUCACUGUUGCCAGCACGUUAUGGUGGGGACUCAGUGGAGACCGCCGGGGUCAACUCGGAGGAAGGUGGGGAUGACGUCAAGUCCUCAUGCCCCUUAUGUCCAGGGCUUCACGCAUGCUACAAUGGCUGGUACAGAGAGUGGCGAGCCUGUGAGGGUGAGCGAAUCUCGGAAAGCCGGUCUCAGUUCGGAUUGGGGUCUGCAACUCGACCUCAUGAAGUCGGAGUCGCUAGUAAUCGCAGAUCAGCAACGCUGCGGUGAAUACGUUCCCGGGGCU
Molecule: ribosomal RNA, 1346 nt
Filed under: uncultured bacterium
Lineage: Bacteria
Description: bacterial SSU rRNA
Rfam family: Bacterial small subunit ribosomal RNA
Source: RNAcentral